Molecule: long non-coding RNA, 2305 nt
Organism: Gallus gallus (chicken)
Lineage: Eukaryota; Metazoa; Chordata; Aves; Galliformes; Phasianidae
Source: Ensembl
GAAAAAUGUAUUCCAGCGAUAGUACUGAAGGGUUACCGCUGCCAAACACACUGUGUCUGUGGAAACACCUGUUGAGUAGCUGUUGCAGUGGGCAGAGCAAGAUGAAGAAAGACAGCUGUAAAGGUGCCAGCAGCAGUAGGAAGCUCUACCAAGACUGCUUUGUGCCAGUUAGAGAUGUGCCAAAUUAUUUGGCUGCAUUUCAAAUAUCUGGGUGUCCACUACAUUUGCCAGCUCGUACUCCCAGGGAAUAUUUCAGCAUUAACACCACUACUGCCAUGCUCCCGCUGCACUUCCACUUUAAUUUCAGUCUUUAUGUUUCUGGGUUGUUUUUGUUUUUCAUUUCUAGCUCCUUUCCACAUCUGUGGCAUGCAAAGGAAAGCCCGGUAUUACAGUGCAGAGCCCAAAAUGAAGGCUGGGAUCUGCAGUUGCUUUCCAGUGAUGCACAGCACAGUCCCUCCUGGAGGUAGACAAGCAAACCCUGCCUUCCGGAACUAGAGGUUUCUCUCUUUGGGACACCAGCAUCUCGUAUGUCAGCCUAGGAGAUGCAAAGACUAUAAGCUCACAGCAUGGGAGAAUGAGAGCCAGGAGAGCCGAGAGUGGCGUUCCCACCCAUGACCGCCGCGGAGCACAGCCUGACGCAGGGAUGGGAGACCCAAAGGGAUGCUGCGGUGCUGCAAAAAACAAGCUCUUCGACUCUGUUAUAUCUCCUCUCAUGGUGACCUCAUCUGGUUCCUGUAGGAUUUUGCCACUUGGCAGGACAAGCAGCAUUCUGACAGAUCUAUGCAUGAAAUCAUCAGCAUUUGAAAAUUCCAGCUAUAAGACAUGCAAUCAGGUUUCUCCUUAAUGACACCAGCUAUUCAACUACAUCAUACCUCCAGACCUUCAAGUGGCUUCUCAGAGAAUUUCAAGCCCAGUUCAUAGUCUGUUCUUUGUUGACAGAGUUCAACAAGCCCUGUGAGAAGGAGACUAGAGAAAUAUGAAAAAAACAUUCAAGACUCCACGAACAUCUUCAAGUACCUUGCUCCUUUGGACAGUGGAGCUGUCAUAUGUAUAGGUCAUAUCACAGAAACAUUAUAGAAUCAUAAAAUGGUUUGGGUUAAAAGGGACCUCAAAGACCAUCCUGUUCCAACCCCCUGCCAUGAGUGGGGUCAUGAACGACUAAAUCAUGCACCAGAUUAGGUUGCCCAGGUCCCCAUCCAACCUGGCCUUGAAUGCCUCUAGGGAUGAGGCAUCCACAUCUUCUCUGGAAAUCCCUAGGUGAGAGAUAAAACUUCCUUGGAAACCAGUCUAAGUGCAAAGAUGAGCCCUUGAGUAAGAAAUUACGUCCACGAAACUCACUUCCAUCUACUCCGAGUCCUUUCUUCAAGCUCACCUUCUUUUGUAUCUUAAUCACGCAGUGUAUGAACUCCCUUUCUCAAAAGAACCCAACCAAUCCAACAAACACCAGUGAAAGGGAAAGAAGCAAAGAACAAACAAUUUUUUCCAGUGAUGGGGACAACAUAAGAAGCAGUAUAAGAAGAGAACUGCAUAAGAAUGAAAAUCUAUGCUUAUGGUCUCAGUGCAAAUAUUACUUCUUAAGCCCCUGCCUGAUACUCAAAGCACAAAACCCAGCAGGGAGAGGGGUAAUGGAAUUUGGAGGCAACUGGUGUUCAAAGACCUCACUUGAAAUGGGCCUAUGCUAAUGCUGAGGGUCUGUGCAAAUUGGGUCAACUUCUCACAUAUUCCUAAAGGAGCAGCUUCAUCAGGUUAGCCUGCAUGGUACAGAGUUGUCUCUUUAAGUAUUUCGUAGAGCUGCACCUCAGAGUAUUGUCCAAAUCCUCUAAGAGAUUCUGGCUCUAACGUGGCCAGAGCAGGAUACAUUCAUCCACAGAGCAUCACCCGUGUGUGUGUGGUCUCUGAGCCACGGGGAGAGCACGUUCAUCCCAAUGUAACUGAGUUUAAUUGCCACCUCCUGACUCUUUUCAAAAAAGGAAUCUGUGCUUAAAAGCUCAGAGCCUUUUCCUUGAACUUUCUUGCUCCAAAUUGAGCUGACAUAACUCCCUUGUCCUUGACAGAAUUACGCUGGUCAAUUAUUGGUCAGACUGAGAUUUGAAUUUGGCAGUGAACCUCAUCGUAUCCCCUUCUUUGUCUUCUCUAUGUAUUUCAUGAAGUACUGAAAAGUGUUUUGUAUGGUUGCGUGUGUGACUCAUACAAAAUAUUUGCACAAAACAGAACAUUAAAGGAUUUGCUGUAAAUUCAAAAAUUAGUUUUGCACUGAAUCGAAGUCAUGCUCUUUCCUUUUCUGAGGCAGAAAAAAGAUAUUUUG